RNAcentral lists this ribosomal RNA (450 nucleotides) under uncultured bacterium. RNAcentral's name for it is "partial 16S ribosomal RNA". It matches the Rfam family "Bacterial small subunit ribosomal RNA", at positions 354 to 796 of the family's 1533-position model. The record is from RNAcentral.
GUGGGGAAUUUUGGACAAUGGGCGCAAGCCUGAUCCAGCAAUGCCGCGUGCAGGAAGAAGGCCUUCGGGUUGUAAACUGCUUUUGUACGGAACGAAACGGUCCUGGUUAAUACCUGGGGCUAAUGACGGUACCGUAAGAAUAAGCACCGGCUAACUACGUGCCAGCAGCCGCGGUAAUACGUAGGGUGCAAGCGUUAAUCGGAAUUACUGGGAGUAAAGCGUGCGCAGGCGGUUUUGUAAGACAGGCGUGAAAUCCCCGGGCUCAACCUGGGAAUUGCGCUUGUGACUGCAAGGCUGGAGUGCGGCAGAGGGGGAUGGAAUUCCGCGUGUAGCAGUGAAAUGCGUAGAUAUGCGGAGGAACACCGAUGGCGAAGGCAAUCCCCUGGGCCUGCACUGACGCUCAUGCACGAAAGCGUGGGGAGCAAACAGGAUUAGAAACCCGUGUAGUCC